RNAcentral lists this transfer RNA (67 nucleotides) under Sphaerodactylus townsendi. RNAcentral describes it as "tRNA-Val". The record is from RNAcentral. Lineage: Eukaryota; Metazoa; Chordata; Lepidosauria; Squamata; Sphaerodactylidae.
GGUGGCUCAGUAGUAGAGCAUCUAUUUGACAUACAGAGGUCCCCCGGUUCAAUCCCUGGUAUCUCCA